This 530-nucleotide ribosomal RNA is filed under the name uncultured Nitrososphaerota archaeon. RNAcentral's name for it is "bacterial SSU rRNA". It matches the Rfam family "Archaeal small subunit ribosomal RNA", at positions 451 to 981 of the family's 1478-position model. Lineage: Archaea; Thermoproteati; Nitrososphaerota. The record is from RNAcentral.
UCUGGUGUCAGUCGCCGCGGUAAAACCAGCACCUCGAGUGGUCAGGAGGUUUAUUGGGCCUAAAGCAUCCGUAGCCGGUUGUUUAAGUUUUCGGUUAAAUCUAUGCGCUUAACGUAUAGGCUGCCGAAAAUACUGGACAGCUAGGGAGUGGGAGAGGUACACGGUACUCAAUAGGAAGGGGUAAAAUCCUUUGAUCUGUUGAUGACCACCUGUGGCGAAGGCGGUGUACCAGAACACGUUCGACGGUGAGGGAUGAAAGCUGGGGGAGCAAACCGGAUUAGAUACCCGGGUAGUCCCAGCUGUAAACGAUGCAAACUCGGUGAUGCAUUGGCUUGUGGCCAAUGCAGUGCCGCAGGGAAGCCGUUAAGUUUGCCGCCUGGGAAGUACGUACGCAAGUAUGAAACUUAAAGGAAUUGGCGGGGGAGCACCACAAGGGGUGAAGCCUGCGGUUCAAUUGGAGUCAACGCCAGAAAUCUUACCCGGAGCGACAGCAGAAUGAAGGUCAAGCUGAAGACUUUACCAGACAAGCU